AGCAGUCGCCGCGGGAAUACGUAGGUCCCGAGCGUUGUCCGGAUUUAUUGGGCGUAAAGCGAGCGCAGGCGGUUAGAUAAGUCUGAAGUUAAAGGCUGUGGCUUAACCAUAGUACGCUUUGGAAACUGUUUAACUUGAGUGCAAGAGGGGAGAGUGGAAUUCCAUGUGUAGCGGUGAAAUGCGUAGAUAUAUGGAGGAACACCGGUGGCGAAAGCGGCUCUCUGGCUUGUAACUGACGCUGAGGCUCGAAAGCGUGGGGAGCAAACAGGAUUAGAUACCCCAGUAGUCCCUGUCUCUUAUACA
RNAcentral lists this ribosomal RNA (303 nucleotides) under uncultured bacterium. Its description in RNAcentral is "partial 16S ribosomal RNA". It matches the Rfam family "Bacterial small subunit ribosomal RNA", at positions 507 to 808 of the family's 1533-position model. The record is from RNAcentral.